GGGGGGGCCAGACAGCCAGCAGCUAGAAGCUCCAGAAGAGGUUGAAACAUCAGAGCGAAUAUCCAAGACAAAGAAAAAGCCAAGCAUCUGGAAGAAAAUUAGGAUGAGCAUUCUGCCUAGAGCUGGAACUCGAUGAAGCCACAGUUCCACUGAGGUUACGUUGGUAAUUAAAAGUGUCGCCCAAUAAUUCCUCCUCCUCUUUAAGUCAUCGAGCCACAUUUCCUCCUCAAAACAUUAUAGUCUCCUCAAGCCAGCAAGUAUCCUCUUUAUCAGGCAACAAACCAUCGAAGGUCAGUGACCCUCCUCCCAAGAACAGAGACUCUCAUCUGUAUCCUAGUUAAAUUCAUCUCUGCUUACCACCUCUACAGUCCUAGAAAAUAUCCCAAAAA
Molecule: non-coding RNA, 389 nt
Organism: Oncorhynchus mykiss (rainbow trout)
Lineage: Eukaryota; Metazoa; Chordata; Actinopteri; Salmoniformes; Salmonidae
Source: RefSeq, a predicted model, not a curated record